UGGGCUUGACAUGCAGGGAAAAGCUGCAGAGAUGCAGUGUCCUUCGGGGCCCUACAC
This 57-nucleotide ribosomal RNA is filed under the name uncultured organism. Its description in RNAcentral is "partial 16S ribosomal RNA". The record is from RNAcentral.